RNAcentral lists this ribosomal RNA (500 nucleotides) under uncultured bacterium. Its description in RNAcentral is "bacterial SSU rRNA". It matches the Rfam family "Bacterial small subunit ribosomal RNA", at positions 36 to 518 of the family's 1533-position model. The record is from RNAcentral.
CGACUGGCGGCGUGCUAACACAUGCAAGUCGAACGAAGCGCUCGCCCGAAGAAGCGAAGUGCUUGCACGGAGUGGAUUCAAUGAGACGACUAGUGGCGGACGGGUGAGUAACGCGUGGGUAACCGUGCCGUAUGCAGGGGGACAACAGUUGGAAACGACUGCUAAUACCGCAUAAGCGCACGGAUCGGCAUCGAUCAGUGUGAAAAGAUUUAUCGGCAUACGAUGGACCCGCGUCUGAUUAGCUAGUUGGUGAGGUAACGGCCCACCAAGGCGACGAUCAGUAGCCGACCUGAGAGGGUGACCGGCCACAUUGGGACUGAGACACGGCCCAAACUCCUACGGGAGGCAGCAGUGGGGAAUAUUGCACAAUGGGCGCAAGCCUGAUGCAGCGAACCGCCGCGUGAGCGAUGAAGUAUUUCGGUAUGUAAAGCUCUAUCAGCAGGGAAGAUAAUGACGGUACCUGACUAAGAAGCUCCGGCUAAAUACGUGCCAGCCGCCGC